GAGCCCCUCACGACAUCACGGCAGGAGCGGGGGAACCACCACGGGCACCACACGGUGUCCUCGGGGUGAAGCCGGGUGACCGUCCUCGGACGGGAGCGCGGCCGGGUGAUCUCCCACCCGAACCCGACAGCUCACCUCGUAGGCGUCCGGAGAGGUUCG
This 159-nucleotide small RNA is filed under the name Actinotalea ferrariae CF5-4. RNAcentral's name for it is "Cellulomonas sp. Mn5-4 c-di-AMP riboswitch aptamer (ydaO/yuaA leader)". It matches the Rfam family "c-di-AMP riboswitch aptamer (ydaO/yuaA leader)". From Rfam's summary of the family: This family represents a conserved RNA structure found upstream of the ydaO and yuaA genes in Bacillus subtilis and related genes in other bacteria. The ydaO/yuaA element is thought to act as a genetic "off" switch for the ydaO and yuaA genes in its native state. Lineage: Bacteria; Bacillati; Actinomycetota; Actinomycetes; Micrococcales; Cellulomonadaceae. The record is from Rfam by way of RNAcentral. RNAcentral also lists the same sequence under 1 other name.